Molecule: ribosomal RNA, 458 nt
Filed under: Termitophilomyia zimbraunsi
Lineage: Eukaryota; Metazoa; Arthropoda; Insecta; Diptera; Phoridae
Description: partial 16S ribosomal RNA
Source: RNAcentral
GUCUANCCUGCCCAAUGAGGUAUUUAAUGGCCGCAGUAUUUUGACUGUGCAAAGGUAGCAUANUAAUUAGUCUUUUAAUUGAAGGCUUGAAUGAAGGGUUGGAUGAAAUAUUAACUGUCUUAAUUUAAUUAUAUAGAAUUUUAUUUUUUAGUGAAAAAGCUAAAAUGUAUUUAAAAGACGAGAAGACCCUAUUAAUCUUUAUAUUUUAUAUAUAAURGGAAGUUAGAUUAUUUAUUUUAUUAUAUUGUAAAUAUUUUAUUGGGGUGAUAUUAAAAUUUAAUUAAUUUUUAAUUUUUGUUGACAUAAAUUAAUGAGUURUUGAUCUAUUGUGUAUAAUUAUAAGUUUAAGUUACUAUAGGGAUAACAGCGUAAUUUUUUUGGUAAGUUCAUAUUAAUAAAAAGGAUUGCGACCUCGAUGUUGGAUUAAGAUAAGGUUUAGGUGAAGAAGUUUAAAUUUU